Molecule: ribosomal RNA, 336 nt
Filed under: Triticum aestivum (bread wheat)
Lineage: Eukaryota; Viridiplantae; Streptophyta; Magnoliopsida; Poales; Poaceae
Description: partial small subunit ribosomal RNA
Source: RNAcentral
AUGAAACAACUUAUUCCAUUCCCUCGGAGCAAGAGCAAAUUUAACAAGGCAAUACAACAAAACGUGGAGCAGCUAAUGGACAUCCAAUCAGCUCUCAAGGCAUUCGAGGAGCGAGGAACAAUGGAUAUAUCGAAUAAAAAAUGUAACCAGCUUUCCCCGGGUGAAGAAUCCUCCACUAAUAAGGAGCCUCAGGGGGCAGAUGACAUAGGAGAGAUCUACAACCAGUUUUCCUUAGGUUCUUCUGUUGACAACAAGCCUGCACAACAACAUGCUCGCGCACACCGCAACCAUAGAGAUAUACCGCGACACAUACCAGGAGAGUUGUGCUUCAUGUAG